RNAcentral lists this unclassified non-coding RNA (263 nucleotides) under plant metagenome. Its description in RNAcentral is "partial contains small subunit ribosomal RNA, internal transcribed spacer 1, and 5.8S ribosomal RNA". The record is from RNAcentral.
GCUCCGUAGGUGAACCUGCGGAAGGAUCAUUAUUGUAUAACCGAGGUGCGAGGGCUGUCGCUGACCCGAAAGGUCGUGCACGCCCGAGUGCCCUCACACACAUCCAUCUCACCCCUAUGUGCACCACCGCGUGGGUCCCCCUUUGGCUUGUUCGGAGGGGGGCUUACGUUUUCACACAAACUUUGUAUGCAGUGUAGAAUGUAUUUUUUGUUUUUGCGAUCACGCAAUCAAUACAACUUUCAACAACGGAUCUCUUGGCUCUC